UGUGCAUUUGUGGGCGUAUGAGAUCUUCAUUGUUUGCAAUAUGUUAUUUCUUUGGUGUACUUUUUCGUAUGGUAGGUCAACGUCGGUUUUGGUCGCCAUAAAAUGAUCGGAGGAAUGUAGCUUCGACCUCGGUUGAAGUGUUAUAGCCUUUGGUAAAUGUGGUGAUUAGGACCGAGGAUUGCAACGAAUACCUUUUAGGCUAUCCGUCUGACUUCUGAAAGUUACUUGGGUGUCGAAAGCUUGCUUACGGCCAUUUAAGUUAACGGUCAAAAGGUUAGAACGUGAUUACA
This 290-nucleotide ribosomal RNA is filed under the name uncultured Funneliformis. RNAcentral's name for it is "partial 28S ribosomal RNA". Lineage: Eukaryota; Fungi; Glomeromycota; Glomeromycetes; Glomerales; Glomeraceae. The record is from RNAcentral.